UUGAACUUGUUUUUCAUAGUUGUCCGCAGGGUGAGAGAGACUGGUGAUUUCCAGUGGGAUCCCUGGAAGGCAGUAUGGCCUGCUGGAAGACCAGGGGGAUGUAAAGCUUCAUCUAAAGUCAUGGUUGAAGUUGGCAGGGUCUUCUGGAGGUCAUCUGGUCCAACCCCCCAGCUCAAGCAGGGUCACCUAGAGGCAGUUACUCAAAAGAGUGUCCAGAUGACUUUUGAGUAUCUCCAACGAGGGGAACUCCACAAUGUCUCUGGACAGCCUUGUUCCUGUGUUUGCUCACCCUCAAAGUGAAAGGGCUUUUUCUUACAUGUUUCAGUGCGUGCCUGUUGCCUCUGGUCCUGUCGCUGGGCACCACUGGGAAGAGCCUGUCUCCAUCCUCUUUGCACCCUCCCUUCAGGGGUUGGUUGAGUUCCCCUCAUUGAUGAGGUCCCCCCACACUGAUGAGGUAGGUCCCCCUUGAGCCUGAUCUUCUAUUGGGUAAACAGUCCCAGGUCUCCUCCCAGCCUUUCCUCAUAGGAGAGAUGCUCCAGAUCCUUAAUUUUAACUCCUCUUGAUCCGAUUUCAGAGUCUUGAUCUGAUUUCAUUUACAUACUUACUAGAAAUUAUACAGAAAGAAUUUAAAUGUUUUCCUAAAUUCCAUUAAUCAAAUAAACCCUAGAUUGGGCAGCUUAGGUACUCUUUCAGGGAUGCUUUAGUGUGAGUCUGUCCAGUAGAAGACUGCUCCAAACAGAACGCCAUCAUGCUCCAGGCUUAUCUAUUUUGGAAGUGGUUGUUUGAUCACCCUUCCUCAGAUAGGUUAUAUCUAGAAACAGUAAGCAAAGGGAGGUUGAAUGGGACUUGUCUUUAAAAGAAUUAAUUUAUCACAUGCAUUAAAAGUUCUAUAUACAUGUGUGGAGUGAUUGCCAUCCUUCCUUUCCAGGCAUUUGGUAUGUAUGGCUUCUUGAAAAUACGACAGAUGCUGGCUGAACAGCUGUCUCUUGUUGACUAAUGGUAUGGUGUGAUUUCUUAGCUCAUGAUUUAAUGUUUUCUAGCCUGCUGGAUAGAAGGUAACCAGAUUGAAACGUUUUUAAUACCUUUUUUGUUUGAUGGGAAAUGGCAGUUUUCAAGGAGCAACAUGUCACAAAGUCACGUCAACUUCAACACAAUUUUCAGUUACAUGUUUAGCAGAGUAAUUUAAAAUAAAAGCAGAUUUUUAAUUUCA
Molecule: long non-coding RNA, 1210 nt
Organism: Pezoporus flaviventris
Lineage: Eukaryota; Metazoa; Chordata; Aves; Psittaciformes; Psittacidae
Exons: 2
Source: RefSeq, a predicted model, not a curated record